GCCACUACCGAUCUCUGCCCUCUUGGUGGUAGUGGUCCCCCGGGCCCAGCUGUCUUUUCUUUUAUCUCUUUGUCUUGUGUCUUUAUUUCUACAAUCUCUCAUCUCCGCACACGGGGAGAAAAACCCACCCACCCUGUGGGGCUGGUCCCUACAAGUUGCUACAGCAGCAAAAUGGGGAUAAUAGCACCUACUUUACAAGGAAUGAAGGAAUGCAAACAAUGAGAACAGUGCUAGCAGAGAAGCACUACCUGUGAAUCUGCUAUUACUCAAAGAAGAACUAUUCAAACCAUUGCUAGCAUCAGAUAUUAGGAUUUUAAGUAAAUGUUCACUAAUUUGGUAGUGGAAAUGAUGUUCUAAUGUGGCUCUUUGAUUACCAACAAGGGUUAAACAUUUAAUUAUCAGUGGUUUUGUCUUCUAGGAAUUCUUUUACUCACAUGGUUCUUUGAGGGCCUUAAUGUGUUUCUUACUGAUCUGUAAAACUUAUUAGCAUAGUGACCCUUUAUGUAUGUUAUAUUUGUUGUCAAUAUUUUCCUCAGUUUGCCUUUUGACUUUUUAGAAUAUAGAGUAGCUAAGCAAUAACUGUUGCUUGAAUCAGUGUUGUCUUACUGAGCCAUCCACAUUCUCAUCCCUUCUCAACAGGAAUGACCCCAAGUUUAUCAGAAGGCUCCUGUGGCUCCAGGGUCAACUCUGGGCAUAUCUGACUACAUCACUCCACCCCUACCAUGGUCUCUCCUCUGUACCCCAGCGUUCCAGGGUACUGUCUUCUGAGAGCGCACUUGUCUGCCAACCCCAGUAGCCAGGACUCAGCAUACCUGGCAAACACCUUCAAAACUAGCAAAUCAUGCUGGCUAUCUGCCCCAGGUAGGGCCUUAGCAACUGGCUUCAAGUUGAGAUAAAGUGACAGUGCUUUUCAGGGAUACAGUUUGAAGAUUUCCUGGGCUAUUGUUGCUUCUGGGGUGUUAGGAUUCUAAUAAUUACAACAGGACCCUGUGUAUGUGGUGGGGUUGGAGAGAGCAUCUCAGUACCUCUCCAAGUUCAUCCUCACUAUCUUGAACUGGGGUAUCUUACAUCUCUAUACCAGUGUUUUGCAACCCUGGCUGUACAAACACCAAUGCAGGGGUCUUACCCCUACAGAUUCUGAUUAAUUCAUCUGGUUUGGGGCCUGGGCAUUGGUAUUUGUAAAGUUCUCCAGGUGAUUCUCGUGUGUAGCCAGGGUUGAGAACCACUUUAAGGCCUUUCUGCCUCAGUCAGGGAGGCAAGAGGCUGCAGGUGAUUUUGAGGGAGAAGGGUCAAUAGAGUAAGGGAGGAAGAAACAGGAAACUAGCAGAGUCCCCGGGGGGAGAGAAUGUGUUAUCCUAAAGACCCUUGGUCACAGCCAUGCAGCUGGGCAAACAGAUAACGCCUGGUGGAACAACAGAAGCUGGACCAUGAGAAGGGCAGACAGCAGAAAAUGCCCAGAGAAGGGUUCAAUUUCUUCUUUGGAAGGUGAUGGUAAGGGUGUGGCUCCAGAUUAACUGGUUCUACAGCUCCAGGCAAGGGAGAUGGAAGGCUGAGGGGAGCAGGUCCAUCAGGGAGCAGUUGGGGGAGAACCUAGAGAGGCACUGUCUGUACACUCCAGGGCCAGUGCCCAAGGCCAGAUGCUCCUCAUCUAUUCUCUAAACCACCCCAGGAUCCUCUUGAAGCUUAAGCUAGUUUAGAUUGAGCUUCUGUCACUUUCAACUGAAGCUUGACUAGUAAAAACUCCUGAGGUUAAAGCCUCUAUUGGGUAAAAGAAUUAGAACCAGUGGGAUAGUCCCAGAAAAGAGCUGUGUGGGCUAGGGGCACUGUGAAGACCCAGGGGACAUUGGAACCUGGCCCUGUGCUGUCUUCCAGGAGGAGUGGUACACCCCAGAGAAAUGGCCAGGUACGUGAAACUAAAGAAUCAUGCUUGGAGUGCUGAGAUCCAUUUGUCUGAGCAGGAACACACCCUAAGAUGGGCCUAGGCUGUGGAAGCUGACACUUUCACUGUGGCCAGGCAGCGUGCUCGCUCAUGAAUGGGAGCAGGGUGGGGGAACUUGGCUGUGAGAAUUGGGAGUCCUCCAGUGGUGAGUCUGGGUUCUGGCUGUGGUGGUAAUGGGGUAGGAAACAGGACUUUCAGAACAGCACCCUGGAGUAUCCAUUUGGAAGGAAGUGGAUAAUGCUUUUGGGGGAGAAAGAAAAAUUUGAAAGACAGGUUCUAAUGGGUGGGAGAGGGAAUGUCUGCCUCUUGGGACCAGAUUUGGAGGAAGGCAGGUGUCUGGGUGCCCACUAUAUUGUAGGGGUGGGGAGCUCUGCUCAGGACAGGAACCCUAAAGAACAAGUCAUACCCCUUAAAUCAGAUUUACAUUGAGGGAAAAAAGGAGUUCACUACGAGAGCCUAUCCAAGUCCCUAAACAAACAAGCAAACAACAAAAACAAGCCCGAGAGGGGGGAAGGGAUAUCAGAAUUCAGAGUUACUACAAUAUAUUUCCUAAAAAGUUUAAUUUUCAACAAAAAACCAUGAGAUAUACAAAUAAACAUGACCCAUACAUAGGGGGAAAAAAGCAGACAACAGAAACUGCCUAUGAAAGAGGCCAGAUAUCAGAUUUAACAGACCAAGACUUCAAACCAGCCAUUAAAGCUAUGUUUAAAGAACUAAAGGAAACUAUGAUUUAAAAAAGUAGAAGAAGGUAUGGUGACAAUUUCUCAACAAAUAGAGACUAUCGAUAAGGUAAACCAUUAAAAAAUAAUCCAAUGAAUUCUGGAAUUGCAGAGUAUAAUAAUUGAAACAAAAAAUUCACUAGAGAGGAACAAUAGUGGAUUUGAACUUGCAGAAGAAACGAUCAGCAAACUUGAAGAUAGGCAGUAGAGAUUAUGCAAUCCAAAGAACAAAGAGAAAAAAGAAUGAAGGAAAACAGAGCCUCAAAAAAAGUCGGGGGGCACCAUUAGGCACACCAACAUACUCAUAAUGGGAAUUCCAGAAGGAGAGAUGAGAGAAAAGAGCAGAGAAAGUAAUUGAAGAAGCAAUGGCUGAAAAUUAGCCAAGUUUGAUGAAAAAGAUUAAUCUACACAUUUAAGAAAGCUCAGCAAACUCCAAGUAAGUUAAACACAAAUAUAUCCACACCUAAGCUCAUCAUACUAAAAAUGCUGAGAGACAAAGUUUUCAAAGCAGCAAGAGAAAAAGAACAAAUCACAUUCAAGGGAACCUCAAUAAGAUCAAUAGCUGAAUUCUCAUCAGAAACAAUGGAGGCCAAAAGGUAAUGGGUAACAUAUUCAAAAUGCUGAACAAAAAACAACUCUCAAGAAUUUUAUAUCCAGAAAAGCUAUCUUUGAAAAUAAAGGCAAAAUAAAGACAUUGCCUGACAAACAAAAACUCAGAAAAUUUGUUGCUAGCAUCCCUGCCUUACAAGAAUUACUAAUGGAAGUUCUUCAGACUAGAAGUAAGUGACCCCACACCAUAAUCUGAAUCUUCACAAAAUAAAAACAAAACAAAUCCAAAGAGCACUGGUAAAGAUGACUAUGUAAUUACAAAAACAAUAUAAAUGCAUAUUUCUUCUCCUUCUCUUAACUGACUUAAAAAUAAAUUGUAUAAAACAACAUAUAUGAUUGUAUUGUUGGGCCUAUAAUGUAUAGAAGUGUAAUCUAUUUGACAAUAACAACAAAAAUGAGGUGGGUGGGAGCAAAUCUGUAUUGGAAUAAAGACAUAACAGCAGAUGGUAACUCAUACCCGUGAGAACAAAUAACAAGAACCAGAAAUAGUAUAGAAGAUUAAUAUAAUAUACUCUAUAAAUAUAUAUUUACUAUCCUUCUCAGCUUCUUUAAAUGAUAUAAAACUAUACAAGGCAAUAUUAUAACAAUGUAUUAUUUGCAUAUUAUAUAUGCGCUAUGUAUAACAAUAGUACAAAAAGUUAGAAAAGGGAAUUGAGUAAUAGAAGAAUAAUGUUUCAGUAUCUCACUGGAAUUAAGUUAGUAUAAAUCUGAAAUAGAUUCUGAUAAGCUAAAAUGAAUAGAGUAAGCUCUAGAGUAACCACUAAGAAAACAACUGAAAAAAAUAGAAUGGAAAAUGAUUGAAGGAAUUAAAAUGUUACAUAAUAAAAUAUUCACUUAAUGCAAAAGAAAGAUUAAAGGAGAAACAGAGGAAUGAAAAAGACAUGACAUAUACAGAAAAUGAAAAGUGAUGAAGUCAGAAAUAAAUAAAACAAAAAGAAAAGAAAAGUAAAAUGACAGAUGUAUAUACUACCAUAUCAGUAAUAACACUCAGUCAGACUGGAUAAAAGUCAAUAUUCAACUAUAUGCUGUCUAUGGGAGACAUUUUAUUUUUUAUUUAUUUAUAUUUUUUGUAGUGAUAGGGUCUUACUAUGUUGCCCAGGCUGAUCUCAAACUACUAGCUUCAAGUGAUUCUCCCACCUUGGCCUCCAAAAGUGUUGAGAUUACAGGCAUGAGCCACUGCACCCAGCCCAGAAGACACUUUAGAUUCAAAGACACAGGUAGGUUGAAAAGGAAAUAGAUAUAUUAUGCAAACAGUAAACAUAAGAAAGAUGAAGUGGCUACACUAAUGUCAGACAAAAUAGACUUGAACAUCAAAACAAAAUAAAACCCACAAUCAAAGUAUGUUACUAGAGAUAAAGGAGGACAUUUUAUAAUGAAAACAGGGUCAAUCCAUCAGAAAGAUAUAACAAUUAUAAACAUAUAAGCACCUAACACCAGAGUCCAAAAAUAUAGGAAGUAAAAACUGACAGAAUUGAAAGAAAAAAUAGACAAUUCAACAAUAAUAAUUGAAGACGUCAAUAUCCCACUUUCAGUAAUGGAUAGAAUAAGUACCCAGAAGUACAACAAGGAAGUAGAAGUCUUGAACAAUACUAUCAACCAACUAAACCUGAAAGACAUCUGUUGUACUCUUCAUCCAACAACAGCAGAGUAUACAUUCCUCUCAAGUGCGCGUGAAACAUUCUGUAGAAUAGACAAUAUGCUGGACCAUAAAACAAGACCCGAUAAGUUUAAAAUAAUUGAAACGUUCUCUGACCACAUGGGAAUGAAAUUAGAAAUGAGUAAGAAAUUAACUUGAGAAAUUCACGAAUCCGUGGAAAUUAAACAAUUCACUCCUAAAUAACAAAUAGGUCAAAGAAGAAGCCACAAGGAAAAUUAGAGACUGCUUUGAGAUUGAUGAAAAUAACAGGGAAAAUUAACUAAACUCAAAGUCGGUUUUUAUUUUUUAUUUAUUUAUUUUUUUGAGACAGGAUCUCACUCUGUCACCCAGGCUGGAGUAUAAUGGCACAAUCUUGGCUCACUGCAGCCUCAACCUCCCAGGCUCAAGUGAUCCUCCCACCUCAGCCUCCUCAGUAGCUAGGACUACAGGAACAUACCACCAUGCCCAGCUAAUUUUGUUUAAUUUUUUGUAGAAAUAAGGUCUCACUAUGUUGCCCAGGCUGGUCUCGAACUCCUGGGCUCAAGUGAUCCUUCCACCUCGUCCUCCCAAAGUGAUGGGAUUACAGACAUGAGCCACCAUGCCUGGCCUCAAAGUUGGUUUUUAAAAAAGGUCAACAAAUUUGGCAAACUUGAAGAAAUAAGACCUAGUGUUUGAUAGAUCAGUAGGGUGACUAUGGUUUACAACAAUCUAUUGUACAUUUCAAAAUAUCCAGGAGAGGAUAAUUUGAGUGUUUCUAGCAUAAAGACAAGACAAAUAUUUAAGGUGAUGAAUGUCCCAAGUGCGCUGAUUUGAUCUUUAAAAAUUAUGUGAAUCUAUUAAAUUAUCACAUGUACUCUGGAAUUAUCUACAUCUAUUAUGCAUCAGUAAAAUAAUUAUUUUUUAAAAAUUGGCAAACCUUUAGCUAGACUGACCAAAAAAAAGAGAGAAGACUAAAUUUAUUAAAAUAAGAGAUGAAGGGGGACAUUACUAUGUACUUUACAGAAAUAAAAAGGAGUACAAGGGUAUAUUAUGAACAAUUACUUGCCAACAAUUUAGAUAACUUAGAUAACAAGGGAAAAAAAUCCCAUAAUAACACAGCCUACCAAAAUGGACUCAGGAAGAAAUGGAAAAUCUGAAUAGACAUAUAAUAAUUAAAGAUAAUCAGUUAGUAGUAGUAGUAGUUAGUAGUAAAAACUGCCGACAGAGAAAAGUCCAAGUCCAGAUGUUUGGUGAAUUUUACCAAACAUUUAAAGAAGAAUUAAUACAAAUUAUUCACAAAGUCUUCCCAAAAUAUAAACGAAAAAUGAACAAUUUCAACUCAUUCUAUUAGGCUAGUAUUACCCUGCUACUAAAAUCAGACAAAGACAUCACAAGAAAAAAAAAUUACAGACCAAUAUCUCUUGUGUAUAUAGAUGCAAAAAUCCUCCAUAAAACACUAGCAAAUAAUAUCCAAUAACAUAUUAAGAAAGAUUGUGCACCAUGACAAAGGGAACUUAUCCCAAGAAUAUAGGUUUGGUUUGAUAUCUGAAAAUCAAUAUAAUGCACUAUAUCAAUGGAAUAAAGGAUAAAAAACCACGAUCAUCUCAGUAGCCAAAAAAAGAUCAUUUGACAAAAUUCUACACCUCUUAUUAUAAAGCACUCAACAAACUUGGAAUAGAUUGAACUUCCUCAACUUGAUAAAGGAAAUCUAUGAAAAACCCACAGCUAACAUCACGCUUAAUGGUGAACAGCUGAAUGACUUCCCUUUAAGAUCAGGAACAAGACAAUGGUGUCCACUCUUGCCACCUCUAUUUAACACUGUGCUAGAGGUUCUAGCCAGGGAAAUUAGGUAAGGAAAUGAAAUGAAAGGCAUCCAGAUUCAAAAGGAAUAAGUAAUACUAUCUCUAUAGAUUACAUGAUCUUGUAUACUGAAAACCCUAAGGAAUUCAUUUAAAAACGAUUCAAAGUAAUAAAUUAGUCAGCAAGAUUACAGAAUACAAGAUCAAUAUCAAAAAUCAUUUGUAUUUCUAUACACUAGCAAUGAGCAAUCUGAAAAUGGAAUUAUGAAAACAAUCCCAUUUACAAUGGCAUCAAAAAGCAUAACAUACUUAGAAAUAAAUUUAAGAGAAGAACAAAACUUAUUCCCUGAAAAUUACAAAACUUAGUUGAAAGAAAUUAAAGAAGACUGGAAUAAAUAGAAAGAUACUCCCUGUCCAUGGAUAUGGAUCAGAAGAUUUAAUAUUGCUAAGAUGGCAAUACUCCCCGAAUCAAUCUACAGAUUUAAUGCAGUCCUCCUCAUAAUUCAGGUUGGCUUCCUUUUAGAAACUGACAGGUUGAUCCUAAAAUUCAUGUGGAAAUUCAAGGGAUCCAGAACAGCCAAAACCAUCUUGGAAAAGUGGAAGCACAUCCACUUCCCAAUCAAAACUUAUUACAAAUCUACAGUAACUAAGAAAGUGUAGUAAUAGCAUAAUAAUGGACAUAUAGAUCAAUGGAAUAAAUUUGGAGUCCAGAAAUCACCUGUCACAUUAAUGGUCAACUGAUUUUUGCUAAGACAAUUCAAUGGGAGAAAGAAUAGUCUCUCCAAAACAUGGGACACUGGAACAUCCAUAUGCAAAAGAAUGAAAUUGGAACCCUGGCUCACAUAAUAUAAAAUAUUACAAUGGAUGAAAGACUUAAAUAUAACAGUUAAAACCGUAAAACUCGGCCGGGCGCGGUGGCUCACGCCUGUAAUCCCAGCACUUUGGGAGGCCGAGGCGGGCGGAUCACGAGGUCAGGUGAUGCAGACCAUCCUGGCUAACACAGUGAAACCCCGUCUCUACUAAAAAUACAAAAAAUCAGCCGGGCGUGGUGGCAGGCGCCUGCAGUCCCAGCUACUCGGGAGGCUGAGUCAGGAGAAUGGUGUGAACCUGGGAGGCGGAGCUUGCAGUGAGCCGAGAUGGCACCACUGCACUCCAGCCUGGGCGACAGAGCAAGACUUCGUCUCGAAACAAAACAAAACAAAACAAAACAAAACUGUAAAACUCGGCUGGGCGUGGUGGCUCACACCUGUAAUCCAGCACUUUGGGAGGCCAAGGAGGGCGGAUCACUUGAGGGCAGGAGUUUGAGACCAGCCUGGGCAACAUGGCAAAACCCCGUGUCUACUAAAAGUGCAAAAAUUAGCCCGGUGUGGUGGUGCGUGCCUGUAGUCCCAGCUACUCAGGUAGCUGAGACAGGAGAAUCACUUGAACCCGGGAGGCAGAGGUUGCAGUGAGCCGAGAUCGUGCCACUGCACUCCAGCCUGGGUGACAGAGUGAGACUCCAUCUCAAAACAAAAACAAAAAACUCUAAAACUCUUAGAAAAAAACAUAAGCAUAAAUCAUUGUGACCUUGGAUUAGGCAAUAGGUUCUUAGAUAUGACACCAUAAGAAAAAAUAAACAAGACAUCAUCAAAAUUAAAUUUUUUUUGCUUUAAAGGACAUCAUCAAGAAAGUGAACAGACAACACACACACAGAAUGAGAGAAAAUAUUUGCAAAUCAUUGGUAAAGGACUGGAAUUGGUAUGUCAAAUAUGUGAACAAGUCUUACAACUCAAUAAUAGAAUGACAACCCAACUUUAAAAUGGGCAAAGGAUGUGAAUAGAUAUUUCUCCAAAGAAGAUAUACAAAUGAUCAAUAAACAUGGGAAAAGACAGCCAACAUCAUUCAUUGUUAGGAAAAUGAAAAUCAAAACCACAAUGAGAUACCACUUUGUACCCACUAAUAUGGCUAUAAUAAAAAGGACAGAUAAUAAGCGUUGCUGAGGAUGUGGAGAAAUUGGAAACCUCAUCCACUGCUUGGGGAAAUGGAAAAUGGUGCACCCACUUUGGAAAGCAGCUGGCUGUUCUUCAAAACAUUAAACUGAGUUACCAUCCAACCCAGCAAUUCCACUGCUAGUUAUCUACCUGAGAGAAAUGAAAACAUGUCCUCAUAACAACUUUCACAGGAAUGUUCAUAGUAGCAUUAUGCAUAAUAGCAAAGAAGUGGAAACAACUCAUAUGUCCAUAAACUGCUGGAUAAACAAAAGGUGGUAUAUCCAUUCUGUGAAAUAUUAUUUGGUAAUAAAAAGAAAUGAAGUACUGAUGCAUGCAUGGAUGAACCUUGAAAAUAUUUUGCUAAGAAGCCAGUCACAAAAGACCACAUAUUGUAUGUUUCCAUUUAUAUGAAAUAAAACAGACACAUCCAUGGACAGAAAGUAGGUUAGUAGUUGCCUAGGGCUGAGGAGUGAAUGGAUUGUGGGGAGGUGUUGAGAGGUGAAAGCUAAGGGUGUAGGGUUUCUUUUCGUGGUAAUGACAGUGUUCUAAAAUUGAUUGUGGCCAUGGAUGCACAACUCUGUGACUAUACCAAAAACUUAACUCUUACAAUUAUAAAUAAAUUGUAUGGUAUGGGAAUUAUAUUUCAAUGAAAUUGUUAUUAAAAACAACUCUUUGCCCAGCGGACACCCAAACCUUUCCCCAGCGGACACCCAAACCUUUCCCCAAGAUGGCUGUAAAUUAUCUUGGGGUGGGAAUGGGGAGGUCCUCCUUUGGUCCUAGCUCUUGAUCCAAUAAUUCUGACGUCAUCUACAACACGUUUACCUAGAAAUGAAACUCAGCUCUUUGCUGAAGUUCUAUCCUCCCAAACCACCCUUCUUUCCCUUCCUAGGAAGCAUUCAUGAUUUCACUGUAGAUGGGGCAGGG
This 9575-nucleotide long non-coding RNA is filed under the name Homo sapiens (human). RNAcentral's name for it is "HSALNT0303515". The record is from RNAcentral. Lineage: Eukaryota; Metazoa; Chordata; Mammalia; Primates; Hominidae.